This 497-nucleotide ribosomal RNA is filed under the name uncultured bacterium. Its description in RNAcentral is "partial 16S ribosomal RNA". It matches the Rfam family "Bacterial small subunit ribosomal RNA", at positions 28 to 507 of the family's 1533-position model. The record is from RNAcentral.
GGUGAACGCUGGCGGCGUGCCUAAUACAUGCAAGUCGAGCGAACGGACGGGAGGCUUGCGUGGCUGAUGUAAGAGGCCGACGGGACGUUCACACGGGGAUAACCUACCUAUAAGACUGGGGUAACUUCGGGAAACCUGCGCUAAUGCGGGAUAAUAUUUUGACCUUAAUGCUUCACACGUCUAAGACGGUCUUUGUGUCACUAAUGGAUCGAUAAGCGCUCCAUGAGCUUAUUGGUAAGCUAACUGCUUAGCAAGGCAACGAUGAAUAGCCGACCUCAGAGGGUGAAUGACCACACUGGAUCUGAGACACGGUCCAGACUCUUACGGGAGGAAGCAGUAGGGAAUCUUCCGCAAUGGGCGAAAGCCGGACGGAGCAACGCCGCGUGAGGGAUGAAGGUCUCAGGAUCGGAAAACUCUGAUAUUAGGGAAGAACAUAUGUGUAAGUAACUGUGCACAUCUUGACGGUACCUAAACAGAAAGCCACGGCUAACUACGUG